GUACUCUCACCCUCUCAAUCCUUGGAUUGGGAGCGGUGGACUUGGGUGCUGCUGCUUGACUGUGGCUCACCUGAAAUACAGUAGUGCACCUCUUGGUUGGACAUAGUACAGCGUGAUAAGUGUCUUCGCUGGCUCCUCGCAAGAGGGUGGCCGAUCGGGAGCUCUGUGCUUUCAAACCGUCCUCGGACAAUCUCUGACA
Molecule: unclassified non-coding RNA, 199 nt
Filed under: uncultured Sebacina
Lineage: Eukaryota; Fungi; Basidiomycota; Agaricomycetes; Sebacinales; Sebacinaceae
Description: sequence contains ITS2
Source: RNAcentral